UUAACUAAAAUUUGUAUGGAGUUGGAAUGUUUGCCUACGUUUGCCGCUAGGGGCGCUGUUCCAACUGCAUACAAAUCGGAGUUA
This 84-nucleotide microRNA precursor is filed under the name Bombyx mori (domestic silkworm). Its description in RNAcentral is "mir-2807 microRNA precursor family". It matches the Rfam family "mir-2807 microRNA precursor family". Lineage: Eukaryota; Metazoa; Arthropoda; Insecta; Lepidoptera; Bombycidae. The record is from Rfam by way of RNAcentral.